This 497-nucleotide ribosomal RNA is filed under the name uncultured bacterium. RNAcentral's name for it is "partial 16S ribosomal RNA". It matches the Rfam family "Bacterial small subunit ribosomal RNA", at positions 28 to 507 of the family's 1533-position model. The record is from RNAcentral.
GAUGAACGCUGGCGGCGUGCCUAAUACAUGCAAGUCGAGCGAUAAGACGAGGAGCUUGCCCCUCUGGCGUUAGCGGCGGGCGGGAGAGUAACAAGCGGAUACGCUACCUAUAAGUCUGGGAGCGAUACGUGAACCCAGAGCUAAUACGAUAUACGAUAGUAAACCGCAUGGUUCAAUAGUGAAAGCCGGUGUUGCUGUCACUUAUAGAUGGAGCCGCGGCGGAUUAGCUAGUUGGUAAGGUAACGGCUUACCAAGGCAACGAUCGGUAGCCGACCUGAGAGGGUGAUCAGCCACACUGGAACUGAGACACGGCCCAGACUCCUACGGGAGGCAGCAGUGGGGAAUUUUGGGCAAUGGGCGAAAGCCUGACGGAGCAAUGCCGCGUGAGGGAUGAAGGUCUUCGGGUUGUAAAACUCUGUUAUUAGGGACGAACAGCUUUGUAAGAAAAUAUGAGCGUCAUGACGGUACCUAAACAGAAAGCCACGGCUAACUACGUG